GUUUUAAUAAUUUAUGCAAUAAAAUAUUGGUCUUGUAAACCAAAAAAAAGGAAUCUUUUAAAACU
Molecule: transfer RNA, 65 nt
Filed under: Onthophagus rorarius
Lineage: Eukaryota; Metazoa; Arthropoda; Insecta; Coleoptera; Scarabaeidae
Description: tRNA-Thr
Source: RNAcentral